UGGCUCAGUGGUUAAGAGCGCUGGUUGCUCUUCCAGAGGACCUGGGUUCAAUUCCCAG
This 58-nucleotide transfer RNA is filed under the name Cricetulus griseus (Chinese hamster). It matches the Rfam family "tRNA", at positions 8 to 63 of the family's 71-position model. From Rfam's summary of the family: Transfer RNA (tRNA) molecules are approximately 80 nucleotides in length. Their secondary structure includes four short double-helical elements and three loops (D, anti-codon, and T loops). The record is from Rfam by way of RNAcentral. Lineage: Eukaryota; Metazoa; Chordata; Mammalia; Rodentia; Cricetidae.